This 74-nucleotide transfer RNA is filed under the name candidate division SR1 bacterium Aalborg_AAW-1. RNAcentral describes it as "tRNA-Gln". It matches the Rfam family "tRNA". Rfam says of the family: Transfer RNA (tRNA) molecules are approximately 80 nucleotides in length. Their secondary structure includes four short double-helical elements and three loops (D, anti-codon, and T loops). The record is from RNAcentral. Lineage: Bacteria; Candidatus Absconditibacteriota.
UGGGAAAUCAUCUAAUGGUAGGAUAGCGGCCUUUGAAGCCGUCCGUCCAGGUUCGAAUCCUGGUUUCCCAGCCA